This 559-nucleotide small RNA is filed under the name Pan troglodytes (chimpanzee). RNAcentral's name for it is "retained intron". Lineage: Eukaryota; Metazoa; Chordata; Mammalia; Primates; Hominidae. The record is from RNAcentral.
CUGGCGUGUUUCACUCAUACAGAGGGCAUCGGGUCCCACCCUGUCACUCAUUUCAUCGUCUAAAAUGUAAUCAUGAGUGUUUGCUUCGAGCCAGGGACAGUGCUGCUGCAGGGGACCCAGCUGGGACCAAGGCAGACUGUCUCUCCCCUCCUGGGAUUUACAGGGUCAUGGCUCUGAAACAUUCUGUAGUGUUCUUUGGACACGAGUUUUCCCUGGAGAUCGCUUUCUGCAGGCCUCUUGGUCCUGACUGUGGCUUCUUUUCAGAGCCUGCCAUUCGCUGCAAGGUUGAACACCCCCAUGGGCCCUGGACGAACUGUCGUCGUUAAAGGAGAAGUGAAUGCAAAUGCCAAAAGCUUUAAUGUUGACCUACUAGCAGGAAAAUCAAAGGAUAUUGCUCUACACUUGAACCCACGCCUGAAUAUUAAAGCAUUUGUAAGAAAUUCUUUUCUUCAGGAGUCCUGGGGAGAAGAAGAGAGAAAUAUUACCUCUUUCCCAUUUAGUCCUGGGAUGUACUUUGAGCCCCAUAUUGAUAGGAAUUUAACCAGGAAGCUUGUCUCAG